This 71-nucleotide transfer RNA is filed under the name Candidatus Nealsoniibacteriota bacterium. RNAcentral describes it as "tRNA-OTHER". It matches the Rfam family "tRNA". From Rfam's summary of the family: Transfer RNA (tRNA) molecules are approximately 80 nucleotides in length. The record is from RNAcentral. Lineage: Bacteria; Candidatus Nealsoniibacteriota.
GCCGGGGAGUAGAUUGGCGUCUAAGGUCGUCUCAUAAGCGAUCAACGUGGGUUCGAAUCCCACCUCCGGCA